RNAcentral lists this ribosomal RNA (491 nucleotides) under uncultured Desulfobulbus sp. RNAcentral describes it as "bacterial SSU rRNA". It matches the Rfam family "Bacterial small subunit ribosomal RNA", at positions 897 to 1382 of the family's 1533-position model. Lineage: Bacteria; Pseudomonadati; Thermodesulfobacteriota; Desulfobulbia; Desulfobulbales; Desulfobulbaceae. The record is from RNAcentral.
AAACUUAAAGGAAGUUGACGGGGCCCGGCACAAGCGGUGGAGUAUGUGGUUAAUUCGAUGCAACGCGAAGAACCUUACCUGGUCUUGACAUCCCGGAGACCCUUAGGAAACUAGGGGGUGCUUCCAUCUGGAAGAAUCUGGAGACAGGUGCUGCAUGGCUGUCGUCAGCUCGUGUCGUGAGAUGUUGGGUUAAGUCCCGCAACGAGCGCAACCCUUGCCUUUAGUUGCCAGCAGUUCGGCUGGGCACUCUAAAGGGACUGCCGGUGUUAAACCGGAGGAAGGUGGGGAUGACGUCAAGUCCUCAUGGCCUUUAUGACCAGGGCUACACACGUACUACAAUGGCCGAUACAAAGGGCAGCGACACUGCGAGGUGAAGCCAAUCCCGUAAAAUCGGUCUCAGUCCGGAUUGGAGUCUGCAACUCGACUCCAUGAAGUUGGAAUCGCUAGUAAUCGUGGAUCAGCAUGCCACGGUGAAUACGUUCCCGGGCCUU